This 1154-nucleotide long non-coding RNA is filed under the name Phasianus colchicus (ring-necked pheasant). RNAcentral's name for it is "lncRNA (ENSPCLG00000017680.1)". The record is from RNAcentral. Lineage: Eukaryota; Metazoa; Chordata; Aves; Galliformes; Phasianidae.
CAAUCCUAUCUAUGCAUCUUCCAGGACCCUUCCAACCCAUCCUAUGACCUUCCAGGACUUUUCCAACCCAUUCUAUACUCUUCAGAACUCUUCCAACUCACGACAUUCCAGGGCUUUCCAGUCCUAACUAUGCACCUUCCAGGACCCUUCCAACCCAUUCUAUGACCUUCCAGGACCCUUCCAACAGAAACUAAGAUGUUUCAGUCCCCUUCCAGCCCACCCUAUGCCCUUCCAGGACCUUCCCAACCCAUCCUACGACCUUCCAGGACCUUCCCAACCCAUCCUAUGAGUUUCCAACACCCUUCCAACCCAACCAUUCAUCUUUCAAGUCCCUUCCAACCCACUCAAAACCCCAGCAACGCAUUCGAUGCCCUUCCAAGACCCUCCCAUGUCCCUUUUUCCCCUUCCAGGACCCCGGCAUCCCCCCUUUUUGCCCUGCCAGGACCUUGUGCACGUUGAUGGCGGGCAGGGCGCUCUGCAGGGCGGCGGCGACGGCCUUCAUGUGGAUGUGGGGCAGCACGAAAAACCUUUCCAACCCAUCCUAUCACCUUCCAGGACCUUCCCAACCCAUCCUAUCACUUUUCAGGACCUUUCCAACCCACUCUAUGACCUUCCAGGACCCUUCCAACACCCUAUAACCUUCCAGGACCCUUCCAACCUAUCCGAUGAGUUUUCAACGUCCUUCCAAUCCAUUCUAUGACCUUCCAAGACCCUUCCAACCCAACCUACGCUCUUUCAGUCUCCUUCCACCCAAUCCUAUGCUCUUCCAGGACCUUCCCAACACAGCCUAUGACCUUCCAGGACCUUUCCAACCUAUCCUAUCAAUUUGCAACAUGUGACCAACCCAUCUAACGACCUUCCAGAACCCUUCCAACCCAAACUAAGAUGUUUCAGUCCCCUUCCAGCCCAUCCUAUACCCUUCCAGGACCUUCCCAACCCAACCUAUGACCUUCCAGGACCUUCCCAACCCAACCUAUGACCUUCCAAGACCUUCCCAACCCAUCCUAUGACUUUUCAACACCCUUCCAACCCAACCAUUCAUCUUUCAAGCCCCUUCCAACCCACUCAAAACCCCAGCAACGCGUUCUACGCCCCUCCAGGACCCACCCAUCUCCUUCUUUCCCCUUCCAGGACCCCAGCGUCCCCCCGUUUUG